This 425-nucleotide RNase P RNA is filed under the name Acidobacteriota bacterium. RNAcentral describes it as "Acidobacteria bacterium (rhizosphere metagenome) RNase P RNA component class A". It matches the Rfam family "Bacterial RNase P class A". Rfam says of the family: Ribonuclease P (RNase P) is a ubiquitous endoribonuclease, found in archaea, bacteria and eukarya as well as chloroplasts and mitochondria. The record is from RNAcentral. Lineage: Bacteria; Pseudomonadati; Acidobacteriota.
GAAGCGCGUCGGGCGGUCGCUGUUCGAGAGAACAGAGGAAAGUCCGAACACCACAGGGCAGCGAGCCGGAUAACAUCCGGGCGUUCUCUGAGAUCUGAUAUUUCAAAUUUGAGAUCUCAGCUCUGAGGACGACGACAAGUGCAACAGAAAGCAGACCAGUCUCGAGCGAUCGGGAUAUGGGUGAAACGGUGGGGUAAGAGCCCACCGGCGUCGGUGGUAACACACGACGGCCAGGCAAACUCCUCGCGGUGCAAGGCCAAAUAGGGAAGCGAUCUUGGGACGGCCCGUUCCAUUGUUCCGACUAGUCGGCGCAGGCGCUUCCGGGUAGGCUGCAUGAGCCGCCGGGUAACCGUCGGCCAAGAUGAAUGAUCGCCGUUCCAACCAGUUGGAACAACAGAAUUCGGCUUACACGACGCGCUUCAUUU